CAAAGAUUAUUUAUUUAUUUGAGAGAAAGAGGUGGGGGGGUGUGACAGGGGCAGAGGGAGAGGGAGACAGAGAGAAUUUCUAGCAGAUGCCCCACUGAGCACAAAGCCAAACAUGGGGCUUGAUAUCACAACCCUGAGAUCAUGACCUGAGCUGACAGGGACAUUCAUGUGAGAUUAUCCCAAGUGUUCUGGAAAAGAUUCAGGGUUUUUAAGGCUGGGGUCCAGACUCUUCCUCUCCAUCAGCCACUGAUACACUAGGUAACCUUGAGCAAGACACUUGAUCUCUUUCCAUCUCACCUGAAAAUAGAAAUGAUGACUCCAACAUGUCCCCAUCUUACCUGGCUGCUAUGAAAACCCAAUGAGAUCAUGUUUGUGAGCCUGCUCUGGGAAUUACAAAAACAGCACACCCUUAUGGAAUCUUACGAUGGCUAUUAUUUAAUUUUUAUAACUUGAGGUGAGUGUGGUUCAUUAUUGCUGUAAUUAGUAAUAAUUAUUCUACUAAACCACACCAGAGAAGAGAAUGUUCUCUCAGUGGCUUCUUCAGCAGGAUCUGUUGUGUAAGCAUUAAUAAAAAAAGAAAGAAAGAAUGAAAACCACUCAACAAAGCUGCAAUGUUCUGACAUAUUACUGUGCAGAAUGUCCUAUUUUUUUCCAUUUUUAGAAAAAGAAAAUUUGAAAGAAUAGCACCUUGAACAUUAGGGUAAGAUCUGAUUCUGCAUGAAAGGAUUCCCUUUUUUUUUAAAAAGAUUUAUUUAUUUAUUUAUUUUUAUUUUAGAGAAAGAGAGAGAGCAAGCAUGCAUGUGCCAGUGAGCAGGGGAGGGGCAGAGGGAGAAAGAGAGAGAGAAUCUUAGGCAGGCUCCAUAGUCAGUGCAGAGCCUGAGGUGGGGCUUGAUCUCAUGACCCUGAGAUCAUGAUAUGAGCUGAAAUCAAGAGUCAGACGCUUAACCAACUGAGCUACCCAGCACCCCAAGGAUUCUCUUAAGUGAAAAUAUACUUUCAAAAAUGACUUUUCAUCAGGGAUCUGGAAGCAAGCUCAGUGUGACCACCAUGUUGACUCCAGUGGGACGUAUGAGGCACGUACACCCUAGAGAUCAAGGUGGGAGGCACCCAAAGAGCACCCCAUGUGGAGGAUGGCUCACCACCAUCCACAGGGUGCAGGGCCAUUGCCAAGUGUCCAGAGUCACCAGGGGCCCCUAGGAUCUACCACAAAGCUCCAGAACUCCUAGGACAAAUUACUGAACCAUAUUCAAGUCUGUCAUUUCUUCCUUCAUUCCUUCCUUCCCUCUCUUUUUUUCUUCACUCUCUCCUUCCUUACAUUUCUUUUGACUCCCACAGGCACAGUGUUACCUACCCCGGCUGUUUCAUGAACCUUGUGGUCACGCCACCCAUGCUGGAUUGAACUGGAUAUUUAGAACCUCACCUCAGGCACAGUCCCCACUAGGAAUGGUGGUAAUAAGGACAGAAAAGUAGUGCUACCGCUCCUGAGCCAUGUCUCCCUUGAUUGUUAUAAACUAAUAUUUGGAGGCAACUGUCUCCUAUUUCUCUGUACUUCAUUGAUGCGACGCCUAGACAAAUGUUGACAUUGCAUAGGAGUCCUUAGGUAUUCCAGAAUCUGGUGAAUGUUUUUAAUGAGCAUGGGUAUGUUUUCCACCAAGCUCUCCUUGGGCAGUUUUUAGUGACUUGUCAACAGAUCCCACAUUUAAUUGAAAAUAAAAGAACUAACAUGGAUUUUUAAAAUCUUAAUACUAAUUCUAAAGCCAGUGAAUGUUGCUGGUGGGGGUAGGUUUGGUACAUCCUCUCUGGAGAGCAACGUGUGUCAAAAAGCCUUACUGAUGUUUUUGCCCUAAAUCUAACAAAUUAAAUUUUAAUUAUAAUUUUACAAGUGAUACUGCUUGUAAAAAUGUGUCCUCAUAAUUAUGGAUGUGCACAAAGAUUUGUCUUCAAGGAUAUUUAUUGUGUGAUUAUAAUAGAGAAGAUCUGGAAACAACAUAAAUGUACAAUAAUAAAGCCUCAUUAAAUACAUUAUGAUACAAUCAAAAAAUGGAACGCAUUUGCAACCCUUAAAAAUUAGCUAUGGAGGAGAACGAACAACACAAAAAGUGCUUAUGAUCCAUUAGAGGAUAAACAGUUUUAAAAAGUCUGUGUAGUCUAAUCAAAUUUUGUCAAUUGAAAAAAAUGCUGAAAAAGAAACUCCCUCAAGGAGCUCAGUAAAUAAAUGAAUGAAACAUGACAUCACCUGCCACGUCCAGUACUUCUGCCGAAGCACUGUUCAUAUCACCCAUGAACAAACAUGGGAAUUCCCUCCUUGGGUGCCACCACCUUGGCUUAAAAAUCCUAACAUUUGUGGAUCUGGCUUUCUAAAUGUCAUCCUUACCUCCCUCCCAACCCAGACUCAUGAUUCCUUCCUGCCUGCCCUGCUUCUCCUAGUGCUUUGUCUUCUUCCUCCUAUCCAGACUCCCCUCUUCCCUGGCUACCUCAGCACCCUUCUCGAUAUCCACACUGUCAAGACUUCCUUAUUAUGGACCUCACCUCCUAAAGGUUUACAGAAAAGGGUGACAACUAAGAACCA
This 2569-nucleotide long non-coding RNA is filed under the name Canis lupus familiaris (dog). RNAcentral describes it as "lncRNA (ENSCAFG00845005854.1)". The record is from RNAcentral. Lineage: Eukaryota; Metazoa; Chordata; Mammalia; Carnivora; Canidae.